Molecule: non-coding RNA, 182 nt
Organism: Vicugna pacos (alpaca)
Lineage: Eukaryota; Metazoa; Chordata; Mammalia; Artiodactyla; Camelidae
Source: RefSeq, a predicted model, not a curated record
CACAAAACUUAUGGGACACAGCAAAGGCAGUUCUAAGUGGGAAGUUUAUAGAGAUACAUGCCUUCCUCAAAAAAGAAGAACAAUCUCAAAUAAACAAUUUAACCCACCACCUGAAUCAAUUAGAAAAAGAAGAAUAAAAACCCCCAAAAGGCAGUAGAAGAAAGGAAAUUAUAAAGAUUAGG